GACACUUCAAUCUCUAUAAAUAGAGAACCCCAGAUUCGUUUUUGAGACACCAAAUCAAUUACGAAUUCAAUUGAUUUCUAAAUUCUUCUCUCUCCAUAUUCUGCUCUAAAAAAUUCUCUUAUACUUCCGUGGUUAUUCCGUUCGAGUACGAUCAUUCAUUGGUUCGACCGACAAGGUUGGUAUUGUGCAGUAUCGACUUUGGAAGGAGCGUUGUAUCUUGGGAGACAGACGUCCA
RNAcentral lists this long non-coding RNA (235 nucleotides) under Olea europaea (common olive). RNAcentral's name for it is "long non-coding RNA (OEUR_LNC004162)". The record is from RNAcentral. Lineage: Eukaryota; Viridiplantae; Streptophyta; Magnoliopsida; Lamiales; Oleaceae.